This 1139-nucleotide long non-coding RNA is filed under the name Equus caballus (horse). RNAcentral describes it as "lncRNA (ENSECAG00000060134.1)". The record is from RNAcentral. Lineage: Eukaryota; Metazoa; Chordata; Mammalia; Perissodactyla; Equidae.
GGAGGCGGGUGCUUCAGGCCUGGACUUCUGAGAAGCAGGGAGCGGGAGGUUGGGAGUUCAUGUUUGAAGGAGACUUUGAAUAAUGAGUUUGGGCUGGAUUCUGUGUGAGCAGGGUGAGAACCACCAGGUGGCCAACACUGGCUCCGGGCACCGCGGGUACCUCAGGUUCCCCACCCGGGAGAUGGAAACACAGCCUCACUUAAAGGGUCUCAGGGGCUCCUACCAGACUGCACACACAGACAAGCUCAGAAGGCAAGGGGACCUCACCUGUUCACUUCAUACCUUGUCAACUUUCGUUUAAACAUUAUGUAAUUAUCGUAAUUCACAGGGAAUUCUGUUCCUCCCUGCUUCCUCCACUUCUUGGGGCAGAGAAAGGUAAUUUGAAAGGCGUUUGUGUCCGUGAUUCCCAGAGGAAAGGAAAGCUUGACUCACGGUGGGUGCUACCAGGCCUGCAGGCUGCCCAAGGCUCCCAGACCCUACAAACCCCACAGAUCCGUCCGGGCCUCCACAGCAUCAUGGCGUGGGUCUGCAAACAGCUCUGGGAACUCCAGGGUGCACGCUGAUCUUCUCCUCGAUGAAAGGUUGAAAAACAAAAUCUUAAUCACAUUGUGCUGAAUGUACUGAACACCUAGGCCUGCGGUUAGAGGAAGAAAUCAACUUGGAACAGUGGUGCCAUGUGGAAUCCUGCUAGCAGGGAGGAAAACACCCUGCCGUCUAAAUAGAUCAUCAGCCAGAACUAGUCAUACGGCCCCACCCGACUCCAAAAGGGCGAGGAAGUACGAUUCUACCAUAUGCCUGGAAAGCAGAGGGAGAAACGUCUGGUGAACAGCACUCCUGGCCGGCACAAUUACAGAACCUUUGAAAUCUUGCCAUGAAAAGUGUGGUCCACUGGCCAGCAGCCUGAUGUCCCCUAGGAGACGGUCAGAAAUGCAGAAUUUCUGGGCCCACCCCAGACCUACUGUGAUGGUUAAUUUUAUGUGUCGACUUGAGGGGGCCACGGGAUGCCCAGAUACCGGGUUCAGCAUGAUUUCUGGAUGUGACUGUGAGGAUGCUUCCGGAAGAGAUUCACAUUUGAAUUGGUAACUGGGUAAAGCAGAUGGCCCUCCCCGGUGUGGGUGGGCCUCACCCAAUCUGCUGAG